GGCGAACGCUGGCGGCGUGCUUAACACAUGCAAGUCGAACGGAAAGGCCCUGCUUUUGUGGGGUGCUCGAGUGGCGAACGGGUGAGUAACACGUGAGUAACCUGCCCUUGACUUUGGGAUAACUUCAGGAAACUGGGGCUAAUACCGGAUAGGAGCCCCUGCUGCAUGGUGGGGGUUGGAAAGUUUCGGCGGUUGGGGAUGGACUCGCGGCUUAUCAGCUUGUUGGUGGGGUAGUGGCUUACCAAGGCUUUGACGGGUAGCCGGCCUGAGAGGGUGACCGGCCACAUUGGGACUGCGAUACGGCCCAGACUCCAACGGGAGGCAGCAGUGGGGAAUAUUGCACAAUGGGCGGAAGCCUGAUGCAGCAACGCCGCGUGCGGGAUGACGGCCUUCGGGUUGUAAACCGCUUUCGCCUGUGACGAAGCGUGAGUGACGGUAAUGAGUCAAGAAGCACCGGCUAACUACGUG
Molecule: ribosomal RNA, 468 nt
Filed under: uncultured bacterium
Lineage: Bacteria
Description: partial 16S ribosomal RNA
Rfam family: Bacterial small subunit ribosomal RNA
Source: RNAcentral